UACCAGCACCCCCGAGUGGUCGGGACGAUUAUUGGGCCUAAAGCAUCCGUAGCCGGUCAUGCAAGUCUUCCGUUAAAUCCAGCCGCUCAACGGUUGGGCUGCGGAGGAUACUACGUGGCUAGGAGGCGGGAGAGGCAAGCGGUACUCCAGUGGGUAGGGGUAAAAUCCUUUGAUCCUUGAAGACCACCAGUGGCGAAGGCGCUUGCCAGAACGCGCU
This 217-nucleotide ribosomal RNA is filed under the name uncultured bacterium. RNAcentral's name for it is "partial 16S ribosomal RNA". It matches the Rfam family "Archaeal small subunit ribosomal RNA", at positions 474 to 691 of the family's 1478-position model. The record is from RNAcentral.